UAGGAAAGAGGACCGGAGGCGUGGUUUAACAUCUCCAGCGAGCUUUCACCCCGGCUUUUAAUUUUAUUGAUCGCUCCCAUUCACUGUUAACUGUUAGCGUAAAUAGUUUCUGUAUUUAUUUUUAUAAAAAUAUAUAAAGAACUGAUAAGUGCAUCGAUAUAGAUAAGCUUCAAGGUUUUAUGUAAACAGAGAACAAAACAAUCGGCAAUCGAGUAGCGAGUCAGUUGUUGUUCUGCGUCGAGUAACGCCGGCUGUCAGCUGUAUUGUGCUCAAUUAACUAAACUGUGAUGAUUUACGAGUAUGUAAGUUUUUUAAAGUGAACUCUAGUGAAAAAUGACACGAUCCUGUUACCGUCCACUUGUCCCACGCUCCUCAAACAACUCGUUGGAGACACGAGAAACAGAAUGUUUUUCGAGUUUCAACGACCUGCAACCAGCGGAAGUCAACCAUCAAGAGCCACCAAAGUCUUAUAGGACGACGUCGCCGCCGGGCGAGCCACUGGUGGUGGGUGGCAAG
Molecule: long non-coding RNA, 516 nt
Organism: Papilio polytes (common Mormon)
Lineage: Eukaryota; Metazoa; Arthropoda; Insecta; Lepidoptera; Papilionidae
Exons: 3
Source: RefSeq, a predicted model, not a curated record